UAUGUCUACUUUUGUACAGUGUAAUGCUGUU
Molecule: non-coding RNA, 31 nt
Filed under: Mus musculus (house mouse)
Lineage: Eukaryota; Metazoa; Chordata; Mammalia; Rodentia; Muridae
Source: RNAcentral